Molecule: unclassified non-coding RNA, 224 nt
Filed under: air metagenome
Description: partial contains small subunit ribosomal RNA, internal transcribed spacer 1, and 5.8S ribosomal RNA
Rfam family: Eukaryotic small subunit ribosomal RNA (bases 1-46)
Source: RNAcentral
AAGUCGUAACAAGGUUUCCGUAGGUGAACCUGCGGAAGGAUCAUUACCGAGAGACGGGGUCUAACCGGCCCCAACUCUUCACCCGUGUUCACACGACUAUGUUGCUUUGGCUGGCGGGCAUUUCGCCCAAAUGCCAGCCCGAGGUAUAACUAAAAUUCUCUAUUAGUGAAGUCCGAGUCGAUAUUCAAUAACUAAAACUUUCAACAACGGAUCUCUUGGUUCUG